Molecule: long non-coding RNA, 199 nt
Organism: Passer domesticus (house sparrow)
Lineage: Eukaryota; Metazoa; Chordata; Aves; Passeriformes; Passeridae
Exons: 2
Source: RefSeq, a predicted model, not a curated record
GCGCUGGAUGCAGGAGCGGAGCCCGGAGAAUGGAGGGCGCGGGGCGGGGUGUCCGGAGGGUGGGACUGGGAAUGUGAGCGCUGCCGUGUCCCUGUGGGCAGCAGUGGCCUCGGCCACCCAACUGCACCCUGGCCGCGUCCUGCUCCUUAUCCACACCCCAGCUGUCGGUGUGAAACAAAGCUGAGAGAUGGGGACAUGA